RNAcentral lists this non-coding RNA (75 nucleotides) under Favella ehrenbergii. The record is from RNAcentral. Lineage: Eukaryota; Ciliophora; Spirotrichea; Tintinnida; Xystonellidae.
CGGAAUUAAUUUUUUAAAAGCACGGCUUUAUAGUUAUGGCUGAAUUCUGUGUGGACAAGUUUGCUACAGUGUACA